GACGAACGCUGGCGGCACGCUUAACACAUGCAAGUCGAACGAGAGAAGAGGAGCUUGCUUUUCUGAUCUAGUGGCGGACGGGUGAGUAACACGUGAGCAAUCUGCCUUUCAGAGGGGGAUACCGAUUGGAAACGAUCGUUAAUACCGCAUAAUAUAAUUGAACCGCAUGAUUUGAUUAUCAAAGAUUUAUCGCUGAAAGAUGAGCUCGCGUCUGAUUAGCUAGUUGGUAAGGUAACGGCUUACCAAGGCGACGAUCAGUAGCCGGACUGAGAGGUUGAUCGGCCACAUUGGGACUGAGACACGGCCCAGACUCCUACGGGAGGCAGCAGUGGGGAAUAUUGCACAAUGGAGGAAACUCUGAUGCAGCGAUGCCGCGUGAGGGAAGAAGGUUUUAGGAUUGUAAACCUCUGUCUUCAGGGACGAAAAAAGACGGUACCUGAGGAGGAAGCUCCGGCUAACUACGUGCCAGCAGCCGCGGUAAUACGUAGGGAGCGAGCGUUGUCCGGAAUUACUGGGUGUAAAGGGAGCGUAGGCGGGAUCGCAAGUCAGAUGUGAAAACUAUGGGCUUAACCCAUAAACUGCAUUUGAAACUGUGGUUCUUGAGUGAAGUAGAGGUAAGCGGAAUUCCUAGUGUAGCGGUGAAAUGCGUAGAUAUUAGGAGGAACAUCAGUGGCGAAGGCGGCUUACUGGGCUUUAACUGACGCUGAGGCUCGAAAGCGUGGGGAGCAAACAGGAUUAGAUACCCUGGUAGUCCACGCCGUAAACGAUGAUUACUAGGUGUGGGGGGACUGACCCCUUCCGUGCCGCAGCAAACGCAAUAAGUAAUCCACCUGGGGAGUACGACCGCAAGGUUGAAACUCAAAGGAAUUGACGGGGGCCCGCACAAGCAGUGGAGUAUGUGGAUUAAUUCGAAGCAACGCGAAGAACCUUACCAGGUCUUGACAUCGUAUGCAUAGCUCAGAGAUGAGUGAAAUCUCUUCGGAGACAUAUAGACAGGUGGUGCAUGGUUGUCGUCAGCUCGUGUCGUGAGAUGUUGGGUUAAGUCCCGCAACGAGCGCAACCCUUACUGUUAGUUGCUACGCAAGAGCACUCUAGCAGGACUGCCGUUGACAAAACGGAGGAAGGUGGGGAUGACGUCAAAUCAUCAUGCCCCUUAUGACCUGGGCCUCACACGUACUACAAUGGCUGUCAACAGAGGGAAGCAAAGCCGCGAGGUGGAGCGAACCCCUAAAAGCAGUCUUAGUUCGGAUUGUAGGCUGCAACCCGCCUACAUGAAGUCGGAAUUGCUAGUAAUCGCAGAUCAGCAUGCUGCGGUGAAUACGUUCCCGGGCCUUGCACA
RNAcentral lists this ribosomal RNA (1339 nucleotides) under uncultured bacterium. RNAcentral describes it as "bacterial SSU rRNA". It matches the Rfam family "Bacterial small subunit ribosomal RNA", at positions 28 to 1387 of the family's 1533-position model. The record is from RNAcentral.